AUCCUGUAGUGCAAUGGACAGCACGUUGGACUUCUAAUCCAAGAGGCGUGGGAUCGAAUCCCACCUGGGAGG
Trichonephila clavata is the source of this 72-nucleotide non-coding RNA. The record is from the annotation of a GenBank genome assembly. NCBI's taxonomy places the organism in Eukaryota, Metazoa, Arthropoda, Arachnida, Araneae, Nephilidae.